This 445-nucleotide ribosomal RNA is filed under the name uncultured bacterium. RNAcentral describes it as "bacterial SSU rRNA". It matches the Rfam family "Bacterial small subunit ribosomal RNA", at positions 355 to 792 of the family's 1533-position model. The record is from RNAcentral.
UGGGGAAUUUUGGACAAUGGGCGAAAGCCUGAUCCAGCCAUUCCGCGUGCAGGAUGAAGGCCCUCGGGUUGUAAACUGCUUUUGUACAGAACGAAAAAGCUCUGGUUAAUACCUGGAGUCCAUGACGGUACUGUAAGAAUAAGCACCGGCUAACUACGUGCCAGCAGCCGCGGUAAUACGUAGGGUGCAAGCGUUAAUCGGAAUUACUGGGCGUAAAGCGUGCGCAGGCGGUGAUGUAAGACAGUUGUGAAAUCCCCGGGCUCAACCUGGGAACUGCAUCUGUGACUGCAUCGCUGGAGUGCGGCAGAGGGGGAUGGAAUUCCGCGUGUAGCAGUGAAAUGCGUAGAUAUGCGGAGGAACACCGAUGGCGAAGGCAAUCCCCUGGGCCUGCACUGACGCUCAUGCACGAAAGCGUGGGGAGCAAACAGGAUUAGAUACCCUGGUA